GAAAGGAGUGUAGGGAACAUUCUAGAAUGAUAGCAGUAUUCUGUAUUUUGAUUAAAAGGAUAAUCACCUAGCUGUAAACAUUUGUCGGGAUCCUACAAGCUUUCAACUUGAGAUCUGUGCAUUUUAACACAUAUAAGAACAGAAGUAAAACAGAAUCUUCGCUGUACAGCCUGCUCUCUACCAUUGGUUAACAUACCACUAUCUAGACAACUCUGAAGCAGCUCCCAUUUUAUGAAGGAGGUGGCUGGCGGAGGCUCGGAAGCACCAUGGCAAACAGGGCCAGGAGGUGAGCACAGACCUUCUGGUCCAGGGCCCGGCUCGUAACCGCCCGCCGCGUUGCCCCCCGCAGCCUGUCCGUCCUCCCUGGGACAACCUGCCGGCUCUUAGGCAUCGCCGUCUGGCCGCCUCGCCACGUGACCAGGAGGCCCGGCAGGCCGGGACCGCACCCCGCGCCCCCCGCGCA
This is a non-coding RNA of Microcebus murinus (gray mouse lemur), 463 nucleotides long. The record is from RefSeq and is a predicted model, not a curated record. NCBI's taxonomy places the organism in Eukaryota, Metazoa, Chordata, Mammalia, Primates, Cheirogaleidae.